This 649-nucleotide ribosomal RNA is filed under the name Nocardioides marinus. RNAcentral's name for it is "bacterial SSU rRNA". It matches the Rfam family "Bacterial small subunit ribosomal RNA", at positions 105 to 767 of the family's 1533-position model. The record is from RNAcentral. Lineage: Bacteria; Bacillati; Actinomycetota; Actinomycetes; Propionibacteriales; Nocardioidaceae.
GGUGAGUAACACGUGAGUAAUCUGCCUCUGGCUUCGGGAUAGCCACCGGAAACGGUGAUUAAUACCGGAUAUGACAUCUUCACGCAUGUGAUGGGUGUGGAAAGUUUUUUCGGCCAGGGAUGUGCUCGCGGCCUAUCAGCUUGUUGGUGGGGUAAUGGCCUACCAAGGCUUCGACGGGUAGCCGGCCUGAGAGGGUGACCGGCCACACUGGGACUGAGACACGGCCCAGACUCCUACGGGAGGCAGCAGUGGGGAAUAUUGGACAAUGGGCGGAAGCCUGAUCCAGCAACGCCGCGUGAGGGAUGACGGCCUUCGGGUUGUAAACCUCUUUCAGCACAGACGAAGCGCAAGUGACGGUAUGUGCAGAAGAAGGACCGGCCAACUACGUGCCAGCAGCCGCGGUAAUACGUAGGGUCCGAGCGUUGUCCGGAAUUAUUGGGCGUAAAGGGCUCGUAGGCGGUUUGUCGCGUCGGGAGUGAAAACACCGGGCUUAACUCGGUGCUUGCUUUCGAUACGGGCAGACUAGAGGCAUUCAGGGGAGAACGGAAUUCCUGGUGUAGCGGUGAAAUGCGCAGAUAUCAGGAGGAACACCGGUGGCGAAGGCGGUUCUCUGGGAAUGUCCUGACGCUGAGGAGCGAAAGUGUGGGGA